CCAGCAGCCGCGGUAAUUCCAGCUCCAAUAGCGUAUAUUAAAGUUGUUGCAGUUAAAAAGCUCGUAGUUGGAUUUCUGGGCGGAGCGGCGGGCGGACGCCCUCGUGGCGGUCCUGCUUCUGCUGCGUCUCCGCCCAUCCUCGCGGGGAUGGUGGCUGGCAUUCGCUUGUCGGCCUCCGGAUCCGCGUCGUUUACUGUGAAAAAAUUAGAGUGUUUAAGGCAGGCGUUUCUGCUGUGAAUACACCAGCAUGGAAUAAUAAGAUAGGACUUUGGUGCUAUUUUGUUGGUUUGCGUACCAAGGUAAUGGUUAACAGGGACAGUUGGGGGUACUCAUAUUUGAUUGUCAGAGGUGAAAUUCUUGGAUUUAUCAAAGAUGAACCAGUGCGAAAGC
This 390-nucleotide ribosomal RNA is filed under the name uncultured eukaryote. Its description in RNAcentral is "SSU rRNA". It matches the Rfam family "Eukaryotic small subunit ribosomal RNA", at positions 567 to 952 of the family's 1831-position model. The record is from RNAcentral.